AACGAACGCUGGCGGCAUGCCUAACACAUGCAAGUCGAACGAGACCUUCGGGUCUAGUGGCGUACGGGUGCGUAACGCGUGGGAACCUGCCCUUAGGUUCGGAAUAACUCCCCGAAAGGGGUGCUAAUACCGGAUAAUGUCUUCGGACCAAAGAUUUAUCGCCCUUGGAUGGGCCCGCGUUGGAUUAGCUAGUUGGUAGGGUAAAAGCCUACCAAGGCGACGAUCCAUAGCUGGUCUGAGAGGAUGAUCAGCCACACUGGGACUGAGACACGGCCCAGACUCCUACGGGAGGCAGCAGUGGGGAAUAUUGGACAAUGGGCGAAAGCCUGAUCCGGCAAUGCCGCGUGAGUGAUGAAGGCCUUAGGGUUGUAAAGCUCUUUUACCCGGGAUGAUAAUGACAGUACCGGGAGAAUAAGCUCCGGCUAACUCCGUG
RNAcentral lists this ribosomal RNA (433 nucleotides) under uncultured bacterium. RNAcentral's name for it is "partial 16S ribosomal RNA". It matches the Rfam family "Bacterial small subunit ribosomal RNA", at positions 29 to 507 of the family's 1533-position model. The record is from RNAcentral.